UACUUCUAGUCAGGAGCUGUUGGGUUUUG
RNAcentral lists this non-coding RNA (29 nucleotides) under Mus musculus (house mouse). Lineage: Eukaryota; Metazoa; Chordata; Mammalia; Rodentia; Muridae. The record is from RNAcentral.